UACGUAGGGUGCAAGCGUUGUCCGGAAUUAUUGGGCGUAAAGAGCUCGUAGGCGGUUUGUUGCGUCGGCUGUGAAAUCCCGAGGCUCAACCUCGGGUCUGCAGUCGAUACGAGCAAACUAGAGUGUUGCAGGGGAGACUGGAAUUCCUGGUGUAGCGGUGAAAUGCGCAGAUAUCGGGAGGAACACCAGUAGCGAAGGCGGCACUCUGGGCCGGAACUGACGCUGAGGAGCGAAAGCGUGGGGAGCGAACAGG
This 253-nucleotide ribosomal RNA is filed under the name uncultured bacterium. Its description in RNAcentral is "partial 16S ribosomal RNA". It matches the Rfam family "Bacterial small subunit ribosomal RNA", at positions 524 to 776 of the family's 1533-position model. The record is from RNAcentral.